This 550-nucleotide ribosomal RNA is filed under the name uncultured bacterium. RNAcentral describes it as "bacterial SSU rRNA". It matches the Rfam family "Bacterial small subunit ribosomal RNA", at positions 355 to 896 of the family's 1533-position model. The record is from RNAcentral.
UAGGGAAUCUUCGGCAAUGGGGGCAACCCUGACCGAGCAACGCCGCGUGAGUGAAGAAGGUUUUCGGAUCGUAAAGCUCUGUUGUAAGAGAAGAACGAGUGUGAGAGUGGAAAGUUCACGCUGUGACGGUAUCUUACCAGAAAGGGACGGCUAACUACGUGCCAGCAGCCGCGGUAAUACGUAGGUCCCGAGCGUUAUCCGGAUUUAUUGGGCGUAAAGCGAGCGCAGGCGGUUAGAUAAGUCUGAAGUUAAAGGCUGUGGCUUAACCAUAGUACGCUUUGGAAACUGUUUAACUUGAGUGCAGAAGGGGAGAGUGGAAUUCCAUGUGUAGCGGUGAAAUGCGUAGAUAUAUGGAGGAACACCGGCGGCGAAAGCGGCUCUCUGGUCUGUAACUGACGCUGAGGCUCGAAAGCGUGGGGAGCAAACAGGAUUAGAUACCCUGGUAGUCCACGCCGUAAACGAUGAGUGCUAGGUGUUGGGUCCUUUCCGGGACUCAGUGCCGCAGCUAACGCAUUAAGCACUCCGCCUGGGGAGUACGACCGCAAGGUUG